This 82-nucleotide transfer RNA is filed under the name Felis catus (domestic cat). It matches the Rfam family "tRNA". Rfam says of the family: Transfer RNA (tRNA) molecules are approximately 80 nucleotides in length. Their secondary structure includes four short double-helical elements and three loops (D, anti-codon, and T loops). Lineage: Eukaryota; Metazoa; Chordata; Mammalia; Carnivora; Felidae. The record is from Rfam by way of RNAcentral.
GCCUGGCUCACUCAGUCAGUUAAGUGUCUGACUUUGGCUCAGGUCAUGAUCAGGUUUGUGGGUUCAAGUCCUAUGUUGGGCU